Molecule: ribosomal RNA, 842 nt
Filed under: Torula sp.
Lineage: Eukaryota; Fungi; Ascomycota; Dothideomycetes; Pleosporales; Torulaceae
Description: partial large subunit ribosomal RNA
Rfam family: Eukaryotic large subunit ribosomal RNA
Source: RNAcentral
GGAGGAAAGAAACCAACAGGGAUUGCCCUAGUAACGGCGAGUGAAGCGGCAACAGCUCAAAUUUGAAAUCUGGCUCCUUUGGGGUCCGAGUUGUAAUUUGCAGAGGGAGCUUUUGGCGUCGGUCGUGGUCUAAGUUCCUUGGAACAGGACGUCACAGAGGGUGAGAAUCCCGUACGUGGCCGCCGGCCUUCGCCUUGUAAAGCCCCUUCGACGAGUCGAGUUGUUUGGGAAUGCAGCUCUAAAUGGGAGGUAAAUUUCUUCUAAAGCUAAAUACCCGCCAGAGACCGAUAGCGCACAAGUAGAGUGAUCGAAAGAUGAAAAGCACUUUGGAAAGGGAGUGAAAAAGCACGUGAAAUUGUUGAAAGGGAAGCGCUUGCGGCCAGACGUGCCCGCGGUUGAUCAUCCAGGCUCCAGCCUGGUGCACUCCUCCGCGGGCAGGCCAGCAUCAGUUCGGGCGGUCGGAUAAAGGCCUCUAUCACGUACCACCCCUCGGGGUGGCCUUAUAGGGGAGGCGCAACACGGCCAGCCCGGACUGAGGUUCCGCGCAUCUGCUAGGAUGCUGGCGUAAUGGCAGCAAGCGGCCCGUCUUGAAACACGGACCAAGGAGUCUAACAUCUAUGCGAGUGUUUGGGUGUCAAGCCCGAGCGCGCAAUGAAAGUGAACGGAGGUGGGAACCCUUACCGGUGCACCAUCGACCGAUCCUGAUGUCUUCGGAUGGAUUUGAGUAAGAGCAUAGCUGUUGGGACCCGAAAGAUGGUGAACUAUGCCUGAAUAGGGUGAAGCCAGAGGAAACUCUGGUGGAGGCUCGCAGCGGUUCUGACGUGCAAAUCGAUCGUCAAAUU